This 440-nucleotide ribosomal RNA is filed under the name uncultured bacterium. RNAcentral's name for it is "partial 16S ribosomal RNA". It matches the Rfam family "Bacterial small subunit ribosomal RNA", at positions 338 to 795 of the family's 1533-position model. The record is from RNAcentral.
CCUACGGGAGGCAGCAGUGGGGGAUAUUGCACAAUGGCGGAAACCCUGAUGCAGCGACGUCGCGUGAGUGAAGAAUUAUUUCUGUAUGUAAAGCUCUAUCUGUACGGAAGAAAAUGACAGUACCUGACCAUGUUUCCCCGUCUAACUCCGUUCCAGCAGCCGCGGUAAUAUGUAGGGGGCAAGCGUUAUCCGGAUUGACUGGGCGUAAAGGGAGCGUAGGCGGUUUUUUAAGUCUGUCGUGAAAGCGCGGGGCUCAACCACGGGACUGCUUGGGAAACUGUGUAACUGGAGUACAGGAGAGGCAGGCGGAAGUCGUGGUGUAGCGGUGAAAUGCGUAGAUAUCAGGAGGAACCCCGACGGCGAAGGCAGCCUGCUGCACUGUUACUGACGUUGAGGCUCGAAAGCGUGGGGAGCAAACAGGAUUAGAUACCCGUGUAGUC